Molecule: ribosomal RNA, 492 nt
Filed under: Triticum aestivum (bread wheat)
Lineage: Eukaryota; Viridiplantae; Streptophyta; Magnoliopsida; Poales; Poaceae
Description: partial small subunit ribosomal RNA
Source: RNAcentral
AUGGUUGUGGCGCCGCAGCCGGCGGAGCUCGACGAGUACCCACCGGACCACCGCGAAUGGGUCUUCUUCACAAAGUCCUACGCCACCGGGCUGUCGACUUGUCGCGGGAGGAAGUGGCUGGACGCCGGCGAGGUCGUCCACUUCGCCUUCCCUUCGCACGAAGGCAGGAUCAGGGUGCCGUACAGGCAGGCGGUGGCGUUGGCAGAGAUCGUGCGCUUCUCGACAAACCGAUCUGGAGAGAUCGGGAAGUUGUCUCCCGAGUGGGCGAGGUGCCUUGCCCCGCUGGUGAGUUCUUCCAAGGUUAUGAUCCAGGGGAAGAUGGUGUUUCCGAUGAUGGAGCUCAGGCUGAUGCAGGAGGUGUUGCUGUAUGUCAGCUUCUACAUCCACCGCUCGUCCUUGUACCUGAUUUCUCCUAAAAAUGAAUGUCAUCCAAACAAUCCCCUCCGCGGCCUCUUCAAGUUGCUUCGGCGAUUCGGUGUAGCUGAAGCCUGA